GGAAUCAACGCUGGCGGCGUGCCUCAGACAUGCAAGUCGAACGCGAAAGUCCCCUUCGGGGGACAAGUAGAGUGGCGCACGGGUGAGUAACACGUAGGUAAUCUACCUUCGGAUGGGGAAUAACAACCGGAAACGGUUGCUAAUACCGCAUAAUGCAGCGGCACCUAAUGGUGACAGUUGUUAAAGCGGGGGAUCGAAAGACCUCGCGUCUGAAGAGGAGCCUGCGGCGGAUUAGCUAGUGUAGG
RNAcentral lists this ribosomal RNA (245 nucleotides) under uncultured soil bacterium. RNAcentral describes it as "partial 16S ribosomal RNA". It matches the Rfam family "Bacterial small subunit ribosomal RNA", at positions 27 to 254 of the family's 1533-position model. The record is from RNAcentral.